RNAcentral lists this ribosomal RNA (798 nucleotides) under uncultured fungus. RNAcentral describes it as "eukaryotic LSU rRNA". The stretch from base 252 to 405 matches the Rfam family "5.8S ribosomal RNA". The record is from RNAcentral. Lineage: Eukaryota; Fungi.
CAUUAUUGAAUAAACUUGAACAAGCUGAAAAUUCUUCUGCUGGCUUCUUUGGAGGCAUGUGCACGCUUGUCAUCUUUAUCUUUCCAGCUGUGCACUUAUUGUAGAUCUUGGAAGUUUGAUUUAUUUUCAAUAGAUUAAGGAUUGCUGUACUUUUACAAAAAAGGUCAGCUUUGCCUUGUAUUUCAAGAUCUAUGUUUAUUACAAACCUUUUAAUGUUUAGAAUGUUGAAAAGAGUUGAUAAUAAAUUAUACAACUUUCAGCAACGGAUCUCUUGGCUCUCGCAUCGAUGAAGAACGCAGCGAAAUGCGAUAAGUAAUGUGAAUUGCAGAAUUCAGUGAAUCAUCAAAUUUUUGAACGCAUCUUGCGCUUCUUGGUAUUCUGAGGAGCAUGCCUGUUUGAGUGUCAUUAAAUUCUCAACCAUAUUAAAUUCUUUUGAUAUGGCUUGGUUGUUGGAAGCCUGCAGGUCUUUAGAUCUGCUCUUCUAAAAUGCAUUAGUGGUAUUUGUGCAGAAGCUACUUAUAGAUGUGAUAAUUAAUUACUUACAUCUCUGUAGCUGUGAUCAUACCGCUACUAACAAAAGUGAACUUGUUUAAUAUACUUGACCUCAAAUCAGGUAGGACUACCCGCUGAACUUAAGCAUAUCAAUAAGCGGAGGAAAAGAAACUAACAAGGAUUCCCUUAGUAACUGCGAGUGAAGUGGGAAAAGCUCAAAUUUGAAAUCUGGCAGUUCUUGACUGUCCGAGUUGUAAUCUAGAGAAGUGUUACCAGUGCUGGACCAUGUACAAGUCUUCUGGAAUG